AUUUCUGAUGCGAAAUGGGUUUUGUUGGGUUUACACAUUGGUAUAUGUGUAAUUUAUGGAUUAAUUAGAGAGCGGAUGGGUUCCGUCGCGAAUCCGUGACCAAAUCGGAUGAAUCAACAUUGUAGUUUUGAUGCCCCCGACGUGCUGAACGCAAUGGUGCUGUCGGAUCGAAAAUUCGACGGACGGAUCUCCGGGAAUUACGAGAUUUUCGCUGAGGGGUCAAAGUGGCAAAACGGAUAAAUCGCGAAGA
This 250-nucleotide long non-coding RNA is filed under the name Ananas comosus (pineapple). RNAcentral's name for it is "long non-coding RNA (ACOM_LNC044080)". Lineage: Eukaryota; Viridiplantae; Streptophyta; Magnoliopsida; Poales; Bromeliaceae. The record is from RNAcentral.